RNAcentral lists this ribosomal RNA (115 nucleotides) under Clostridium perfringens. Its description in RNAcentral is "partial 23S ribosomal RNA". It matches the Rfam family "Bacterial large subunit ribosomal RNA", at positions 2811 to 2925 of the family's 2925-position model. Lineage: Bacteria; Bacillati; Bacillota; Clostridia; Eubacteriales; Clostridiaceae. The record is from RNAcentral.
UUCCCAUAGCGUAAGCUAGUAAGAUCCCUUGAAGAACACAAGGUUGAUAGGUCGGGGGUGUAAGCAUGGUAACAUGUUCAGCUGACCGAUACUAAUAGAUCGAGGGCUUGACCAA